UACGAAGGGGGCUAGCGUUGUUCGGAAUUACUGGGCGUAAAGUGUGCGCAGGCGGCCGCGCAAGUCGAGUGUGAAAGCCCCGAGCUCAACUUGGGAACUGCAUUUGAAACUGGCGGGCUGGAGUGUGGCAGAGGGGGGUGGGAAUUCCACGUGUAGCAGUGAAAUGCGUAGAGAUGUGGAGGAACACCGAUGGCGAAGGCAGCCCCCUGGGCCAACACUGACGCUCAGGCACGAAAGCGUGGGGAGCAAACAGG
This 254-nucleotide ribosomal RNA is filed under the name uncultured bacterium. RNAcentral's name for it is "partial 16S ribosomal RNA". It matches the Rfam family "Bacterial small subunit ribosomal RNA", at positions 524 to 776 of the family's 1533-position model. The record is from RNAcentral.